RNAcentral lists this ribosomal RNA (770 nucleotides) under uncultured Paracoccaceae bacterium. Its description in RNAcentral is "bacterial SSU rRNA". It matches the Rfam family "Bacterial small subunit ribosomal RNA", at positions 38 to 855 of the family's 1533-position model. The record is from RNAcentral. Lineage: Bacteria; Pseudomonadati; Pseudomonadota; Alphaproteobacteria; Rhodobacterales; Paracoccaceae.
GGCGGCAGGCCUAAUACAUGCAAGUCGAGCGCGCCCUUCGGGGUGAGCGGCGGACGGGUGAGUAACGCGUGGGAAUAUGCCCUUCUCUAAGGAAUAGCCUCUGGAAACGGAGAGUAAUACCUUAUACGCCCUUUGGGGGAAAGAUUUAUCGGAGAAGGAUUAGCCCGCGUUAGAUUAGGUAGUUGGUGGGGUAAUGGCCUACCAAGCCUACGAUCUAUAGCUGGUUUGAGAGGAUGAUCAGCCACACUGGGACUGAGACACGGCCCAGACUCCUACGGGAGGCAGCAGUAGGGAAUCUUAGACAAUGGGGGCAACCCUGAUCUAGCCAUGCCGCGUGUGUGAUGAAGGCCCUAGGGUCGUAAAGCACUUUCGCCAGAGAUGAUAAUGACAGUAUCUGGUAAAGAAACCCCGGCUAACUCCGUGCCAGCAGCCGCGGUAAUACGGAGGGGGUUAGCGUUGUUCGGAAUUACUGGGCGUAAAGCGCACGUAGGCGGAUUAGUAAGUUAGAGGUGAAAUCCCAGGGCUCAACCCUGGAACUGCCUUUAAUACUGCUAGUCUUGAGUUCGAGAGAGGUAAGUGGAAUUCCGAGUGUAGAGGUGAAAUUCGUAGAUAUUCGGAGGAACACCAGUGGCGAAGGCGGCUUACUGGCUCGAUACUGACGCUGAGGUGCGAAAGUGUGGGGAGCAAACAGGAUUAGAUACCCUGGUAGUCCACACCGUAAACGAUGAAUGCCAGACGUCAGCAAGUAUACUUGUUGGUGUCACACCUAA